GAGCCUCAGGCAGGCUGGGGCAGUGCCCCACCACUGCUGAUGGGAAAGCAGAAGGCAAUCAUCUCUCUCAGCACUUCUGUUGCUCCUUGGACUACGUGAAGCUGCUCCAGGCACAGAAGAGUCCAGCACAGCCACUGAGGAUUCCCCUGUGGGCAGUGGACAAGGAUCCCAGCAACCCUAAGUAAGCAUUUACAAAUGAGCUAUAAAAUUGCGUGAUCCUCCUUUUCUCACUGAGAUGGGAAUUUAGAAGUGUGCACACCUUCUUCUCAGAGAUUUUUAAGAACAUAACAUGGAAGAUUUCAUAGGCUAAGUAUGCUGCACCAUUGCUGUCAAGUUUAGGUGAGAUUAAGUUUAAUCUCACUGGGCAUCAGUGUUACUCAAACCUUCCUCCUGCCUGAGAAAUCUUCCCAGCCACCUUCAGAGUGCUUGUGCUGUCACUCUGAAGUUACACUAACCUGCACAAGGCUGCCAGUAGGGAAAUCUCACCAUUUCCUUUUCCUCUGGAUGAAGUGUUGGAUUUGCACCUUUUGCAAAUGAACACAAGGCUGCUGUGGGCAGAGAAAUGGUCUGUUCAAAUCCAGCUCUCUUACUGAUGGCCGAGGCUGUAUGAGCCUGAGCUCUGGAGGGAAACAGAACAUCACUCCUGUUGGUGAUUCAAGCUGUCAGCUUUGAUCACUAUUCUGGGAAGGACUGUGACUGCAUAAGAAGUCUCUAUCUCUCAGUUUGUGCCUCAUUCAGGAAUCUCAGGUUUCACCCCAAAAAGUUGUCUGAGACAAACACAUUUCCAACGCUGAGCACUGGGAUGCAUGUGACACAGCCAAAUCUCCCAAGACAGUUUUCUGAAGGAAUCCAUAUGCUUGCUGCUGUCAACACUUUGCUUAAUAGUUGUAAAGUUACAUUGGUUUUCUCAGUACUGUAACGUCCCAAUGACAUUAGGCAAGAAUGCCUGUACAAGUCUAUUACCACAUACUCAGCAAGUAUUACCAGACAAGAAAGAAGCACAACUCUUCAAGUACUGGGAGAAAGGUUGUCCUAGUUCUUUGGAAAUCUUCUUCGUUUCUUCUUUGACCUAGCAAAGACCUUAAACUGCCCAGUGGUUUCUUCAAGGUUUUGCAAUCAUGAGGCAUAGCCUGGCCACUUUCUGAAUUCAUUUGAGAAAAGUCUUUGGAAAUGGCAUAUCAAAAGAAGUGAAGCAGGACUAGCUGUAUUAGCUCCUGGUUUAAAACAAAAAAAAAAAAGAAAAAAAAAAAGGGGGGGGCAGGGCUGUGGCCUUCAGUGAGAAACUGAGCUCACUUGCUCUGUGAGGCAGAGGCAAGGUUGUGAUGGGGCAGUCUGAGGCACACUUGGAGUUUCAAGCAGAGAAGAAAACGUACAACAAAGGGUAGAGCAUUAUUGUGGUGUUGCUGGCUCCUCCUUCUUGCAGCACGUGAUGCAGAAUGGCCCUAGGAAGGUGCUUCAGCUCUGGUACUGUGUGUCUUCUCUUGCAUGUGGAAGCUGCCAAGGGAUCUCUCAGUUGUCCUUGCCCAAAGACAUCCCUGUCAUCAAUCUGCAGUGGGCCCAGUCCUGUCAAGUGAGCAGACUGUCUGGUACUGUCACACAGAAAUCUCAGACUGAGGGAUUCUUUACAAAGGCUUGUGAGGGGGAUAUCCUGUACUCCAUCUUUUUUUCUCUACAGCUCCUCUGGCCCCCUCCUCCCACUUCCACACCCUGGGCUCAAGUUUCUAAGUCUUUUGAACUAUUUUAAAAAAUGUACAACUUGUCCUCUAAGACAUAGGAAAUUACAUUUGAUGGUCUAUUGUAUAAGAAUUUCCAUAUUUAGACAAAAAUCAACAGAUACAAUCUCUGAUUUCCUUUCCCCAUACUCCUCAUAUUUGCCUCUUCUUGCACCGCUUGCUUUGGCUGCUGCCAUGGUGUAGCAGAGGCAGACGUCAUCAAUUAGAAGAAGGAUUUAUAACUAGUGAGAGGUAUAAUCAAGGAGCCUGCUCCUCCAGAUACUGUGUACUCACCUUGGUCUGGGUUGUCUGCCCCACAGCUCACAUCUGAAUUUUGAUGCUUUUAAAGGUACUUCAAAGAUAAGCUUCUACUCAGUCUGUGCAAAAUAUAUGUCGCAUAUAAGGCAAUUUCAGCUCCCUUCUGUACAAAUUCUGAAGCAGCCUUUCUAAGGCUUUAUGAAACAGAGGUCAGUGAUAUUAGACUGGAUUAAUUGUGUAGCUAAACUCCUAAAAGGAUUUCUAAACAUUAAUUUUGGGUUUCUUGUUGUUAACUAUUUGGUGUAACCAUGGUGUAAAUUUUCUCAGUGGCAGUCAACUCAGCAACAAUACUGACUGAGGAAGGGACUCAGUAACAAGAGCUCAAAAACUUUGCGAUAGCUAAACCCAUUUGUAGAAAUCCUGAAGGGGAAUACUAGAAAGCAGAGUAAAGUCCGAAUAAUAUGUUAAAAUAUCAAUACAAUAAAAAUUAAGCUUUCUGAUGAAAAAUUAAAUUCCUCGAGACCCUUAAAAAAAGUAUGAUUCUGGCUAAUUUUAAGACAAGAAAAUGACUGAUGAAUUCAGCAAAUAAGUUUAAAAAACUCCAGCUAUCCCUCCAAAAAACCCAAAACCCCUAUGAAAUUAAGGGAACAGCUACAAUUUAUCAUUUGCACUUGAGACAGGACUUUGGCCUUUGUCAAUUUAGACAAGAAGAGUCAUUCUUAUACUCAGUCUCCAAAUUGUGGGAUGGACUUCCUUUGAAACAAAAGACACUUGCUAAGAUCCAGUUUCUACUCUGACAACAGCACAGACAUUAACCUUUCCUUUCCCAAAACAAACACACAUUUCUCUAUCUAUUGUAUGCAUAAAUUCCUUCCUGGGUGGAAUUUAUGAGAAAAUACAUCAUGUACAGCAGAAGCAGGUCACCUCUUACAGCACAAAUUAAAAGCUCCUGCACUUUGAUAUCCAAAGUGAUCCAGGUGCCCAUCUCUGACUGGCAAGGAUUCCAGCAUAGUUAGAAAAUGAAACUUUCAUGAAAUGUUGUUUAAAAAAUCGGAGGGCUCAAGUCCAAAGGAAAAAAAGUAUUUUUUUGCUUUGUAGCAUUGGAUUUUUAUUGCAAAAUUAGGCAGAUCAUUAUAAAUGAAAAGUUAAUGCUUUUUACUUUUAACUCCCCAACCUCUCUAUGUAUUUAGAAUAGCCUUCACUGUUUAGAGAGCACAUGUAAGGUUUGCAAACUGGCCAAUUGUUGUGCAAUAAAUCAGUUUAUAAUAUAUAGGUUCAGCUAAUCCAUAUUUUCCAUUGUCAGUCUUCUGCCUUAUUUAUUAGUCUACAAAAGAGUGUUUUGCACUGUGAAAUACCCAUGUAACUACAAUGUUUGUAUUCACAUGGAGAAAAUUAUAAGCACAUGAAAGUAAAGCACAUUCCUCAUGAUCUUUAUGCUGCUUGAAGAUUAAGAAUACAAUAGAUUAAAAGAAUCCAGGAAUAAGUUGGUCUACGGGGGGCAGUCACAAUAUUUGUGUAAGCCUAUGCUGCUUUAAUAUGUGAAUUACAAAUAAAGACCUAAUAGAAAUGUUUGAAUAUUUUUUGAAACACACAAACUAUAUGGCCUCGCCCCCCUUUGGUUUUUGUGUUUCAGAAGUAAAGUUGAUCAAAAAAAGUUUGUGG
Molecule: long non-coding RNA, 3632 nt
Organism: Serinus canaria (Common canary)
Lineage: Eukaryota; Metazoa; Chordata; Aves; Passeriformes; Fringillidae
Exons: 5
Source: RefSeq, a predicted model, not a curated record